UUAGUCGGGGUGCCUCUAUUAAUGGCUGAGAAAUACCCGUGAACCUGAAACAGAUAAUGCUGGCGUAGGAAACUAAUCAUCUC
Molecule: non-coding RNA, 83 nt
Filed under: Parahaemophilus parainfluenzae
Lineage: Bacteria; Pseudomonadati; Pseudomonadota; Gammaproteobacteria; Pasteurellales; Pasteurellaceae
Description: Haemophilus parainfluenzae TPP riboswitch (THI element)
Rfam family: TPP riboswitch aptamer (THI element)
About the family: Vitamin B(1) in its active form thiamin pyrophosphate (TPP) is an essential coenzyme that is synthesised by coupling of pyrimidine and thiazole moieties in bacteria. The previously detected thiamin-regulatory element, thi box was extended, resulting in a new, highly conserved RNA secondary structure, the THI element, which is widely distributed in eubacteria and also occurs in some archaea.
Source: RNAcentral